UGCUAAGAGAACCAGCCUUACCAAGCCUUCUGGGCCCCCAAGGACAAUCAGUACCCCCAACUGGUCAUCCAGUGAGGGCCAGUCCAGUUCGCUCAGCAGGUGGCAGACCAGGCUGGGAACUAAGUUCAAAUCGAGGACGCCCGCACAGUGAACGUACCCAAAGGACUCAGGCCCCAACACUACCAGCGUCAACACCAGUCUUUGCGCCUGUGCCUCCACCUCCCUUGUAUCCUCCACCGCCCCAUGCACUUCCUCUU
This is a long non-coding RNA of Gymnogyps californianus (California condor), 257 nucleotides long. RefSeq lists it as uncharacterized. NCBI's taxonomy places the organism in Eukaryota, Metazoa, Chordata, Aves, Accipitriformes, Cathartidae. The record is from RefSeq and is a predicted model, not a curated record. The transcript has 3 exons.